This 470-nucleotide ribosomal RNA is filed under the name uncultured bacterium. RNAcentral's name for it is "partial 16S ribosomal RNA". It matches the Rfam family "Bacterial small subunit ribosomal RNA", at positions 29 to 507 of the family's 1533-position model. The record is from RNAcentral.
ACGAACGCUGGCGGCGUGCUUAACACCUGCAAGUCGCACGGAAAGGCCCUGCUUGCAGGGUGCUCGAGUGGCGAACGGGUGAGUAACACGUGGGUGAUCUGCCCCUUACUUUGGGAUAAGCCUGGGAAACUGGGUCUAAUACUGGAUAGGACCAUGCUGUAGGUGGUGUGGUGGAAAGAUUUUUUCGGUAAGGGAUGAGCUCGCGGCCUAUCAGCUUGUUGGUGGGGUAAUGGCCUACCAAGGCGUCGACGGGUAGCCGGCCUGAGAGGGUGGACGGCCACAUUGGGACUGAGAUACGGCCCAGACUCCUACGGGAGGCAGCAGUGGGGAAUAUUGCACAAUGGGCGCAAGCCUGAUGCAGCGACGCCGCGUGGGGGAUGACGGCCUUCGGGUUGUAAACUCCUUUCAGCCAUGACGAAGCCUCUUUUGGGGUGACGGUAGUGGUAGAAGAAGCACCGGCUAACUACGUG